GAUGAACGCUAGCGGGAGGCCUAACACAUGCAAGCCGAGCGGUAUUGUUUCUUCGGAAAUGAGAGAGCGGCGUACGGGUGCGUAACACGUGUGCAACCUGCCUUUAUCUGGGGGAUAGCCUUUCGAAAGGAAGAUUAAUACUCCAUAAUAUAUUGAACGGCAUCGUUUAAUAUUGAAAGCUCCGGCGGAUAGAGAUGGGCACGCGCAAGAUUAGCUAGUUGGUGAGGUAACGGCUCACCAAGGCGAUGAUCUUUAGGGGGCCUGAGAGGGUGAUCCCCCACACUGGUACUGAGACACGGACCAGACUCCUACGGGAGGCAGCAGUGAGGAAUAUUGGUCAAUGGGUGCAAGCCUGAACCAGCCAUCCCGCGUGAAGGACGACUGCCCUAUGGGUUGUAAACUUCUUUUGUAUAGGGAUAAACCUACCCUCGAGGGGGUAGCUGAAGGUACUAUACGAAUAAGCACCGGCUAACUCCGUG
RNAcentral lists this ribosomal RNA (479 nucleotides) under uncultured bacterium. RNAcentral's name for it is "partial 16S ribosomal RNA". It matches the Rfam family "Bacterial small subunit ribosomal RNA", at positions 28 to 507 of the family's 1533-position model. The record is from RNAcentral.